RNAcentral lists this ribosomal RNA (307 nucleotides) under Salmonella enterica subsp. enterica serovar Corvallis. RNAcentral describes it as "partial 23S ribosomal RNA". It matches the Rfam family "Bacterial large subunit ribosomal RNA", at positions 1259 to 1567 of the family's 2925-position model. Lineage: Bacteria; Pseudomonadati; Pseudomonadota; Gammaproteobacteria; Enterobacterales; Enterobacteriaceae. RNAcentral also lists the same sequence under 1 other name. The record is from RNAcentral.
GCCUGUGAGGGUUGCUGGAGGUAUCAGAAGUGCGAAUGCUGACAUAAGUAACGAUAAAGCGGGUGAAAAGCCCGCUCGCCGGAAGACCAAGGGUUCCUGUCCAACGUUAAUCGGGGCAGGGUGAGUCGACCCCUAAGGCGAGGCCGAAAGGCGUAGUCGAUGGGAAACGGGUUAAUAUUCCCGUACUUGGUGUUACUGCGAAGGGGGGACGGAGAAGGCUAUGUUGGCCGGGCGACGGUUGUCCCGGUUUAAGCGUGUAGGUGUGUGUUCCAGGUAAAUCCGGUUCACUUUAACACUGAGGCGUGAC